GAUGAACGCUGGCGGCGUGCCUAAUACAUGCAAGUCGAGCGAACGGACGAGAAGCUUGCUUCUCUGAUGUUAGCGGCGGACGGGUGAGUAACACGUGGAUAACCUACCUAUAAGACUGGGAUAACUUCGGAAAACCGGAGCUAAUACCGGAUAAUAUUUUGAACCGCAUGGUUCAAAAGUGAAAGACGGUCUUGCUGUCACUUAUAGAUGGAUCCGCGCUGCAUUAGCUAGUUGGUAAGGUAACGGCUUACCAAGGCAACGAUGCAUAGCCGACCUGAGAGAGUGAUCGGCCACACUGGAACUGAGACACGGUCCAGACUCCUACGGGAGGCAGCAGUAGGGAAUCUUCCGCAAUGGGCGAAAGCCUGACGGAGCAACGCCGCGUGAGUGAUGAAGGUCUUCGGAUCGUAAAACUCUGUUAUUAGGGAAGAACUUAUGUGUAAGUAACUGUGCACAUCUUGACGGUACCUAAUCAGAAAGCCACGGCUAACUACGUG
RNAcentral lists this ribosomal RNA (497 nucleotides) under uncultured bacterium. Its description in RNAcentral is "partial 16S ribosomal RNA". It matches the Rfam family "Bacterial small subunit ribosomal RNA", at positions 28 to 507 of the family's 1533-position model. The record is from RNAcentral.